Molecule: long non-coding RNA, 5964 nt
Organism: Lepidothrix coronata (blue-crowned manakin)
Lineage: Eukaryota; Metazoa; Chordata; Aves; Passeriformes; Pipridae
Exons: 3
Source: RefSeq, a predicted model, not a curated record
CUAUCUGACUGGAUACAGAGAAUUACUGUACAGAGAAUUACUCAUUCUAACAAACAACUCUUUACUCCUUCCACAACUUUUUCUUAAAAAAAAUCUGGAAAGAAAGCUUAUAAGUAAGAUAAAUGGUAUUUAUGAGGAAUCUUUAUGAAAAUCCUAGUUUUAGGGGGUUUAAACUUGCACAGACUUCUACAAGAGAUCACUUUAUUCAAAGGUCUGUAUGCCACAAAUGUUUUAUAACUUGGGUGAUUCCACAGGGACAGUGCAAUAUAUUUGUACUGAUCUUACUCCUUGAACCCACCUUAGCCACUGUCCAAAAAGAGAUUUGUGACUAUGUGGAUUUCUAUUCAGAUCAAAUACAGUUAACUCUGAUAGAGUCCAAAGGCCCCUCAUCUUUUUAAACACAGAAAACAUAGUUUUAUGGAGAUUUCUACUGAAUCAAAGUAGAAAAAUAUAUAUCAACAUUAUUGUGGUGUUUCUGAAAGUUCUGGUAGGUUGUGAAAUCAAAGUUUAACUAUCCUUUCUAGCAGAUUGAUUUUUAAUUUUUUUCCUGGUAUGAAAUCUACAUCUUGUUUUUAGUCAUUUUAAGCCUAUUACACUUAAGCUACAGUGAAUGAUAGAAAGUGCCUUGUUCUGUUGCAGAUCUACCACUUCUUUCAAGAUUAUUAUAUUUCAUCUUUGUCUUGUCUAAGCAAAGCAUGCUCAAUUUCUUUCCUCGCAAGUUACUAUAAUUGACAAGCUUAAUUAGUAUUCUUUCCAGUACUGGGUCCAAGUAGUUUAUGAAGAUGUCAAAGAGCACUAGGCUUAAAAAGGAGCCCUGCAGAACCCCACUAGUGAUCAGUCACUAUGACUGUGAUUAUGAUGUGACCCCAUUCACUUGUAACCCUUUGUGCCCGACCUGUGAGCCAGUUCCUUACCCACCACAUGAUGUGUUUAUCCUGGCGUGUGCUGGACAUUUUGUCCAGAAGGAUAUUGUGAGAGACAGUAUCAAAAGCUUUACUAUAACAGAUGAUUAAAUCACUGAGAUGGGGAACCUUGUCAUGAAAGGAAAUCAAGUUUGUCCAGCAGGACUUUCACCUCAUGAACCUGUGCCAGCUGUGAUGGAUGACUGUGUUGUCCUUCAGGUGUUUUUCAAUAGUUCACAGAAUAAUCUUCUCCUUAAUUUUGCCAGGCACUGAAGUGAGACUGAUAGGCCUGUAGUUAUCAGGGUCAUCCCUCUUGCCCUUCUUGAAAACUGGGACAUUGCCAGCUUUCAGUCAACUGACACCUGUGAUUCUGUGUUUCUGUGAUUAUAUGGUGAUGAAAACAUGUACACAUGUUGUUGCAGCUAUCAUAGCUUCAGCCUUGAGAUGUAUAAAUCAUUUCCCUUUCUCCUCUACCCAUUUAAAAGAUAAGUUACCAUAUUUUCAAUUUAUAACUUAUUGAUUUAGAGCGUUAGAUUUUGUAGCAGCUUCAGAACCAUUCAGUACUAGACAGUAAAUGCAGAAAAUAGGGUUCUAAAUUAAAUAUGAAUAACUACACAUCUGCUUUAUAUCUGUGAGCAGAAUGGACAGUCUAGAACUUGUUCAGUCUAAGGUAGGACACGACAGCAUUCAUUUUCCCAGAGGUCUUGUAAGAUCAGGGCUUAUUUGCCUGAGCAGCUGUGGUGCCUCUGGCUCCAGUGUUACCUGUUUUCCACUUACAGAAUAUGAAAUAUCUGAGUGCCAGUGUGCAAUAUUGAUUUAACGAAAGUAUUCAAGUCUUUUGGAUAUAAAUAGAAGAGAGUGAUUAGGAUUUUAAUUGAUUACAUUGGCAACUCUACCAUUCUGGAAGAAAAAUGCUUAAAUUCACUCGUGUUGAUGUAAAUUUCAAGAAAAAGAAAGCUGAAGUAGGAUAUAUGAAAAUCUUGUUAAUUAUAAAAUAUAUUGUUGUUUAUUCUGCUAUUUGAAUAUAAAUUCUGUUGUCUUUGGUGCAGAUAUAUCUGUUCUUAGUACCUAUGAAAUGGAAAUAUUCUCCUCAGUUUUUAACACCGUAGAUAUUGUUCUGCCCAUUUACAGGCCUAGAUAUAAAUAAGAAACAAAAUUGUAAUGUUUAAAAUUUUAAAUUAAAAUAAAAACUCCCCUGUUAGAUUCAGUUUUGUCUUCUUUCUAAAAUCAUAAAAGGACAAAAUUAUCAUUAAAAAAAGCAGGUUGAAAACUUUUGGAUUUGAGUUUUGGGUUUUUAGCUGGGUAAUGUUGCAGCUGUCACUGUUCUGUCACUUCAGCUGUGCUUUUGAGUGCAAAGUGUUAAUAGUCACUGUAGUAAAGUACCUAUACUCAACACCCCUUACACCAAAGUGUGAGACUUGCCUUGAAUAUGACAUUUCAGAGCAAAAUCCCGAUGAAACAUUUAGGAUUUUCUUUUGUUUUAUUUCUCACAGCAAACCCAAGUUCAGUUUUGGGUAGCAUAUGUGCCAUUCUCCAGUAAGGAAAACACGAGAAGGCAACUGUGGAUAUCUUUUAUUUAGCAAAGUUAAAUCUACAGCUUCUUAAAAUUGUUUCUAGUUAAAUGGCAAGGUAAUAAUAGUUUAAUAGUUUCAGAAUUCAAUUUGAAUAUUUUGUUCAGAGAAUAUUUAAAGUCUCAGACUGACAGUGGUCUACAGCCUUGUAUGUAGAGGAAGCAAUAUGAAUUCCUUUAUGCUUCAGAGCAAAGUUGCAACUGACAGUGGAAGGAAGAGAGCACAUGUUUUGUACAAGCUUAGCCCUUGACCAACAAGACCAUUUUGGGUUGUUAAUGUACUAUAAUGACCACUGUUGCAUGUGCCAACAAUGUCCUUUGCACACUUCAAAGUCAUAUCUUCUUGACAUCAAUCCUAGAAGUAUUUAUGGCAGACUUGUGAGGUACUCUGUGACAAUGCAUUGAAACAUAACAUGCCCUUAAAAAAUUCUGAAGCAAGGCCUCUGAGGUGUACAUAUGUCUCUUUACUCCCUAGCUAGCAAUCAGAAAUCUAGUACCUAAGUUGUUAUUUAAUCUCAGUAAGAGGUCAUAGAGAUGAAGUAUGUGUGCUAUAAGAACUUUACUAGCAUGGCAAAGUAAUAUUUUCUAAUUACUUGUACUGUCUUGAAGUUUAUGAAAUAAAAUACUGAUUCCUGCAAGACUUUCACAGGAGUGUUGGUGGUUGUGGGAAGAAGAUGAUAGUUUCUCUCUCCUAAUGCAGAAAUAUAGGAGAGUUAACGUUCAGCCUGUAUUGCCUAAAUCGGAGAAGUGGUAUUUUGUUACCAACAACAGCAAAACCAAAAGAGGUCACAAGCUUUUAUCCUAAGGGUAUUUCUGAAUAAUGUCACUGUUACAUCUGGCACAGUUGUGUGACAGAAGGUAUCCUGCCAUCACUGACAGAGCAUCCAUCUACUUAUUUUACCCACCAAAGCCAAGUGCCCACCUUGUUGAGAUUGCUGCCAAAUAGUAAAAUGUUCUUUCCAGAAUAUACUACCUAACACUCUUCUACUGACUCCUUGGCUAAGCUGGCUGGUAGUCCAACCCCCUUAUUUCUUUAACUGUUGUCAGUCAGCAUGGACUUCUCUUCAGCAGCAGCUGCCAAACUGAACUCUAAUCAGCCAGGCUUCCUCUUCCUUACCAGUCAGGCACUCAAGAAACAUGUUUGAUUUAGGAUUCUUAGUGGGUUUUUUCUCAAGUGACUUCCCAAUUGGGCCCCUCCAGCCAUGCAGUGAAGGUGCUGUGAAGAAGGACUGAUUGACAAAGCAGGCAAGCUCUGUGAGCUGAUCCUAUUAACGCAAGAAGGCACUGUCCUUCACUGAACAACUGUCAAUGGAACAUGGAUGAAGUGCUGUCAACAUAUUUCUUCACUUUUUAUUGUGAAUUUAUGUACACUUUGGGCACUUGAUGAAGCAACAAAGUAGUUGCAUGUUACAACAUAUGAGUUUUCUGUCUUGGAAAGGUCGUCAUUUCCUCUCUGUGACAUGUAAAUACCGUCUUUUAUGUUACGUGUUCUUCUGUUAGCUUCUUGAGAAAGAAAGGCUGGGUCCACAUAACUUGAAAGAUAAUGAAAUGGGAUGGAGUGAUGUGAAAUGUUAAGAGGCCUUUGAGGAGCCAUGAAAUGAAUGGAAAGAUGAACCUUGCAUAGGUAUCAUUCAGAGGUGAUGUCUACCUUCCUCCCUGUUUCAACAAAUCUGCUCUUUUCCAUUGUUUAAUAAGUGCUGACAAUGAGACAUAUCCUUCCUAUGAGAUGCUCUUCUAAGGAGGAUCAUUGUCCAGAAACAAAGGGAACCUGCAAGAUACCAGCUUGGAUGAUUUACUGUUUCUCUUGUGAAUUAUAAAGUAUGCAGCAGAUCAUGAUCAUCCUGCCAGUGCAGAAGGCAAAUCUGGUGUGUAGGGGAUGCCUGAAGACCCAGUUCAUGGUUAUGUGGCAGAAGUUAAGGAUCCACUGUUUCCAGUAGCUUUGAUGAUUGGAACUGGAGUAAUGUUAGCCACUGGAGCAACAGGGAGGUCAACUGGAUUUAACUUGAUGUCUUAUGUCUCUGCUUAUCUUGAAGCAUUUCAAAUAGCAGUAAUGAAAUUCCAGUUUGUUUGGAAAAAUCAGGACUUUCCUUGCUUACUGCUGGGUGAAGAAAAUAAAGACUUUAAUUGUACUGUUUUCUUCACACACUGGCAUGACUUAGGCCAUAUUCCGAAUUCCACUGUUUUUCUACAUAAAGAGCAACUACUUUUCUCUUGGCUUUUUUCCAAGACACCCAUGCUAAUUGUGUCUUAGGCCUUCAAAUGAAUAAAACACCAGAAGUUCUUAUUCCCAUUUUGUAGUUAGGGUACUGAGACUGUGAGAGACUAAAAUGUUACUGAUUUCAUUAAGUUUUCCUCAGUUAGAAUAGCUAGAAAUUAUUUUCUAGGGUGUUGAAGCAUUUCACAUGUUCUGAGCAUGUGUUAUUUUUUUCAUUUUCAUGUUGUAAGAACUUUUACAGAUCAGAGCCAGAAUCUUCUUUUGAUUGACCAGCAAAUGAGAACUACAUAGUGAAGGACAAACUGGACAAAUUUUGAGUUAAAACAUGUGUUUAACAUCACCUGGAAACUCAGUGGCAGAAUUUGGGCUGGAAUCAGUUUCUGUAGAGCAUUGUUGAGUUUUGUUUCCUUUUCUUUUUCCUUUUAGUCUUGAAAUAAAACACAUAGAUCUUUUAUCAUCAUGUAUCCCUGGUUCAUUCGCUGAUUGUACUCCAUCUGGUGUGCUGAAUGAAGCAGGGUCUUUUGGGAAGAAUACUUUCUGAUUAUGUAAUUAAGGGCUGUAUUGCAGUGCACAUGCACAAGGGGGCAACUUUCUUCUGCUAUGAUUAAAGAAAAGUUGUUUGUCUUUGGAGAACUGAGCUAGUAAUCAGGAGGAAAAAAUAGGAGAAUGAACUUAAGAACUGUUAAAUUAAACUUGCAGUUGUUUUGGAAGGGGGAUAAUUUAUGAAAUAUUUUUUUGAAGUAAAAGGGAUUUCUUUGAGGAUAGGGGUAUGAGGUGAUGUGUUCAAGGAAUAAAAACAGUCUUUUGAGUACAUUUUCUACAGGUUUCGAUUUACUUCAUUGUCUAAGAGAAACUAAUUCUGAAUUUAUUUGCUUUGAAUAACCUGUUACAAAUCUGGAUCUGUGAAAUGCAUAAAUUAUCUAGAAUUCAAUAGUAAUUUCUUGAGGCUGACAGCAGGAAUUUAGUGGUUGGCAGACCAAAAGGUUGAAGGAACCAUUUAUCUGCAGUUGUAAAUUUUAAAUUCUCUCUGAGGAUAUGAUUUACUUCUGCUUGUAGUAGAUACAUGUCAGCAGUCUGUCUUGCUGUGUUACAGCUAUGUGCUCUGCUUGCUUCUUUGCCAACCAUUAGUAUUUGGCUUGCUUACAAAUAAAUGUGACAGACCAAGAGCUUAGAAACUAAGUAAAUGAAGCAGACAAGAAAAUAGACAGGAAGAAGCAGCGUCUUCAGUUUAUGGCUACAAGAUGCAGAGUCCACUACCAACCGCCACAAACUUUGCA